UACGUAGGGCGCAAGCGUUAUCCGGAAUUAUUGGGCGUAAAGAGCUCGUAGGCGGUCUGUCACGUCGGCUGUGAAAACCCGAGGCUCAACCUCGGGCCUGCAGUCGAUACGGGCAAACUAGAGUACUGCAGGGGAGACUGGAAUUUCUGGUGUAGCGGUGAAAUGCGCAGAUAUCAGGAGGAACACCGGUGGCGAAGGCGGUUCUCUGGGCAUUACCUGACGCUGAGGAGCGAAAGUGUGGGGAGCGAACAGG
This 253-nucleotide ribosomal RNA is filed under the name uncultured bacterium. RNAcentral's name for it is "partial 16S ribosomal RNA". It matches the Rfam family "Bacterial small subunit ribosomal RNA", at positions 524 to 776 of the family's 1533-position model. The record is from RNAcentral.